GUAAAAGGAUCCUAGCCUAGGAGCUGGCGGGGCUCAUUGAAAGGUCUUUAAAUUAGGUAGGAAGGGGGAAGGGGACAAAAUGAGGGCUGCUGAGGUUGUGCAGGCAGUUUGAGGUUCAAAAGAUAACUUGAUGGGUGAUGAAGGUGGAGUUUGAAGGGAUAGAGAAUGGCAGGGGAAUGCUGCUUUCCUUAAGUGUCUGUACACUAACGCGCACAGUAUGGGAAAUAAACAGGAAGAGUUGGAGAUCUGCAUGCAGUCGCAUGGCUACAAUCUCAUUGUGAUUACGGAGACGUGGUGGGACAGCUCGCAUGACUGGAAUGUUGUCAUGGAGGGCUAUGUGCUUUUUAGGAAAGAUUGGCCGGUGAGGCGGGGAGGUGGAGUUGCUCUUUAUGUGAGAGAGCAGCUAGAAUGUAUUGAACUCCACCUGGGGGAGAGUGGUGUAGCAGUGGAGAGCUUGUGGGUGAGAAUCAAGGGGCGGGCUGGUAUGGCUGACACUGUUGUGGGAGUGUAUUACAGACCCCCUGAUCAGGAAGAGGAGGUUGAUGAGGCCUUCCAUAAGCAACUGGAAGCAGCAUCACGAUCCCAGGAGCUGGUGCUUAUGGGAGACUUCAAUUAUCCAGAUAUUUGCUGGAUAAGCAAUGUGGCCAGGCACGCGCAGUCCAGACGGUUCCUGCAAUGUGUCGAAGACAACUUUCUGAUGCAGGUGGUUGAGGAACUGAUGAGGGGAGGGGUGUUGCUGGACCUUAUUCUCACUAAUAGAGAAGGGCUUGUCAGGGAAAUAAAGGUCGGGGGUAGCUUGGGUUGUAGUGACCACAAGAUGGUUGAGUUCAAGAUCUUGAGUGGAAGGAGCAAAGCAAAAAGUAGGAUUUCUACCCUGGACUUUACGAAAGCCAAUUUUGAUCUCUUCUGGGACCUACUUGGAGCUAUCCUGUGGGCUAGGGUGUUAGAAGGUAAGAGGGCCUGUGAGAGCUGGUCGGCAUUUAAACAGCUCUUCUUCCAAGCUCAGGAUCGGUGCAUACCUGUGAGUAAGAAAUCGGGAAAGGGUAGCAGGAGACCUGUGUGGAUGAGCAAGGAGCUCGUGCGCAAACUCAAAGGAAAGAAGAAGGCCCAUGAAAUGUGGAAUAAGGGUCUGACCACUUGGGAAGAAUAUAGAAAUGUUGUCAGGGCCUGCAGGGAUGCGACAAGGAAGACUAAAGCCCUCCUGGAAUUAAACCUGGCAAGGGUGAUAAAGGAUAAUAAAAAAGGCUUUUUUUAAGUAUGUUAACAGUAAAAGGAAGACUAGGGAGAAUGUGGCUCCCCUGAUUAGUGACGGGGGUGUUCUGGUAACGGGGGAUGCUGAGAAGGCGGAGAUACUGAACACCUUCUUUGCUUCUGUCUUCAGUGAAAAAACUCCCCCUCGGGAAUCCGAGACUCUGGGAGGUUAGUGAAAG
This 1430-nucleotide long non-coding RNA is filed under the name Phasianus colchicus (ring-necked pheasant). RNAcentral's name for it is "lncRNA (ENSPCLG00000000815.1)". The record is from RNAcentral. Lineage: Eukaryota; Metazoa; Chordata; Aves; Galliformes; Phasianidae.